RNAcentral lists this transfer RNA (85 nucleotides) under Heterobasidion irregulare TC 32-1. It matches the Rfam family "tRNA". From Rfam's summary of the family: Transfer RNA (tRNA) molecules are approximately 80 nucleotides in length. Their secondary structure includes four short double-helical elements and three loops (D, anti-codon, and T loops). The record is from Rfam by way of RNAcentral. Lineage: Eukaryota; Fungi; Basidiomycota; Agaricomycetes; Russulales; Bondarzewiaceae.
CCUUCGAUAGCUCAGUUGGAAGAGCGCAAGACUGUAAUGGAUAAUGUUCAUCUUGAUGUCGCUGGUUCGAUCCCGGCUCGAAGGA